CCAAGGCGACGAUGGGUAGCCGGCCUGAGAGGGUGUACGGCCACACUGGGACUGAGACACGGUUCAUACUCCUACGGGAGCACAGUAGGGAAUAUUGCGCAAUGGGGGCAACCCUGACGCAGCAACGCCGCGUGAGUGAUGAAGGCCUUCGGGUCGUAAAGCUCUGUCAUGAGGAAGAAAAAAUGACGGUACCUCAUGAGAAAGCCCCGGCUAACUACGUGCCAGCAGCCGCGGUAAUACGUAGGGGGCAAGCGUUGUCCGAAAUUACUGGGCGUAAAGGGUGCGUAGGCGGCCAAUUAAGUCAGAUGUGAAAGACCACGGCUUAACCGAGGGAUUGCAUUUGAAACUGGUUGGCUUGAGUAUCGGAGAGGGUAGUGGAAUUCCCGGUGUAGCGGUGAUAUGCGUAGAUAUCGGGAAGAACACCAGUGGCGAAGGCGACUACCUGGACGAAAACUGACGCUGAGGCACGAAAGCUAGGGGAGCAAACAGGAUUAGAUACCCUGGUAGUCCUAGCUGUAAACGAUGGACACUAGGUGUCGGAC
RNAcentral lists this ribosomal RNA (542 nucleotides) under uncultured low G+C Gram-positive bacterium. RNAcentral describes it as "bacterial SSU rRNA". It matches the Rfam family "Bacterial small subunit ribosomal RNA", at positions 268 to 828 of the family's 1533-position model. Lineage: Bacteria; Bacillati; Bacillota. The record is from RNAcentral.